Molecule: ribosomal RNA, 162 nt
Filed under: Swartzia canescens
Lineage: Eukaryota; Viridiplantae; Streptophyta; Magnoliopsida; Fabales; Fabaceae
Also listed under: 6 other names
Description: 5.8S ribosomal RNA
Rfam family: 5.8S ribosomal RNA
About the family: 5.8S ribosomal RNA (5.8S rRNA) is a component of the large subunit of the eukaryotic ribosome.
Source: RNAcentral
AAACGACUCUCGGCAACGGAUAUCUCGGCUCUUGCAUCGAUGAAGAACGUAGCGAAAUGCGAUACUUGGUGUGAAUUGCAGAAUCCCGUGAACCAUCGAGUCUUUGAACGCAAGUUGCGCCCGAAGCCAUUAGGCCAAGGGCACGCCUGCCUGGGCGUCACA